Sus scrofa (pig) is the source of this 2319-nucleotide long non-coding RNA. RefSeq lists it as uncharacterized. The record is from RefSeq and is a predicted model, not a curated record. NCBI's taxonomy places the organism in Eukaryota, Metazoa, Chordata, Mammalia, Artiodactyla, Suidae.
UUUUAAAAGUGUCAAAUCCAAGAUACAACCAAAAAAAAAAAAAAAUUUCAACUUCGUAUGUGGUACAAAUAAACUGAAAUUUCUUAGAAAUAGUAAAUAUGUUUUCCACCCACAAUUGACAUUCGUAAGUAAUAAAUAUGAUUUCUCCUGAAAGAAAGCUGAAACUUUUUAAAGAGCUAUUGCCAAGUUAGAAUUCAAGAAAUCAAUUAAGUAUCAAUUAUUCUGGCAAGUAAUAAUUAAUUCAUAAACGCUAUGCAGGUACCGACAACUCUUUCACACACCUGCUAUUACACAUUACAAUGAAAUUUAUUCGAAGAAUUUGGCAUCUGGCAAGUCGUCUGCUUUGACACUACAUUAGUAGUUACUCAACGUUGAGCGCGGCACAUAGUCUCCCACUGAGAAAACCCGGCCAUGUAUACAACCACCUGCAAAACAAGAAUAAGAAACACAGACUCCUCCACUCUUAGUCAGGGGCCUGAGUGCUGAGCUUUUGCUUUUCAUUAGAAUCUGCGGGAAAAGAACUGAAGAACGCCUGCUUGUGAGACGUAUGUAUUGACCUCAAAGGGUGAAAUGCAGGGCACUAUUUAUUCAGGUGAAAAAAUACAAAGCAUUGCGUGUUGUUCAGCAAUGAUCAAACAAAGAAGGUUCAAAAGAAUGUGCUCCAUGUGUGACUUUCAGAGCUCAACUCUGUACUUCCAGUAUUAAGUGGUGAGGCAGAAACACCACAGUUGUUAGGGCGCUGACAGUUUUAUUCACAAGGAACUUUCAAAUACAAGAUUUUUAUAAUUUUAUGUAUAAAUGCUAGAGAAAUACUAGGAAUGACUUCCUCUACGAUUAAGGUUAGCCGUUGGUUAUAGCUAGAAGGGCAUUAAUCUGCUGAGAUGAAUGAAUGAUUUUUACAAAUUAUUUCUGUUGUAAAGUUUCUAAGGAUGGACGCUAAUACUCUGUGCUUUGGGUUGCCUUUAGGUACCUACAAAUGGGUCACCAUAUUCUAGCAGGGAUACCUGAUUAGGGUGUCUUCAUCAGGGAAUUUGCCAAGUACCCAUUACACACUUGCUAGGUGACGGGUAGAAGACCCAAACCCUGACCGCAAAGAAUUUACAACUGCGAUGCCCCACUUCAGGACAAAUCCCUCCUCUGCGUAUCUUUAAAGCUUUCUGCAAUAGCCGGCUGUUAAUUUUAUCUUCCCUGGGUCUCGGUUUUCGUACCGUAAAAUGUAAUGAGGAUAUUAAGAUGGGUCACUUACAAGCCCCCUUUAGGUAUGAACAUUCUGAGAUGCUUUAAAAACUCACUUCAAGAGCUCUGAGGCUGAGGUUGAGCUGGAGUUUGAGAUAAGAAUGUGAAAUAUGGAGUUUUAAUAAACUGACGGAGGGAGGAGCACGUUCCAGGGAAAUGAAAUGGAGCAAAGCACAGAGGAGAGGAACUGACAUGGUGGUUUCGUAAGUCCAGGGAUGGGACAGACUUGCGCAAGUGGAGACGCUCCGGAGGGAAGCAGGAGAGAAGGGCGGCUGUCUUGGUAUCUUUCAGUAUCAUUGCCUGAGAAGUCAAGGAAAUUUCAAAGCAGAACUCUGGCAGAAAGUCCGCCUCACAGACACAGCCAGCCUGGGACAGGCACCGAAGAGAGGUUUCUUUUCAACAUGACCAGCGCAAAGAUGCAGUCGUCCGUUUGAUUAAAAAGUCAUCAGACGAGUCAAGCACAUCGUUACUAAAAGAGAGUUUAUUUCCUGGUCUGUACCAAAAGCAAAUAUACCUGCCUCCAUAAGGUAACAAACUGGUGGACCCAAAAAGAUUUACAACACACGUGAGAGUGUUUGAAAUUAUAUUUAAGGAAUGUUCAUAGUCUCCGCAAAACCCUAGCGUUGGCCAGCAUGUGGUUGGAAAGCCACUGCUCUCUGUUCUGGCCACAGAGGGCACUGUCUGGCACAGAUACUCUCUCUAGAGUAUUUAUCACUCAACAUGUGUUCUUUUAAGGAGAGCUGUUCAUAUGCUUGAACAACAGAACAUAUUCUUACACUUUAUUUUUUCAGUGCCUUUGAAAUAUUUAUAUAUUCAAAGAAGUGAAAAACCUAGUUGAAAUCCAUUUUUUUUUUCACUCUGAGUUUUAAAAUCACAGCAUCAGAUUGGAGAAUAGAUUAUAAAACUAAAACCUUUAUGAAUUCACUCUGUAUGUAUGGUACUUCAUUAGCACAACUAAACAUGGAUUAUAGUUGAGAGAAGAAAAAAAAGAGGGAGAGGGGAAGAGAGAGUGGAAGGCGAAGGAGAAAAGGGAAAGUGGAAAGAAGAAUAAAACAGGGAGCUCCUGUCAGUGGCUCAGCGGAA